AUUCCGUUGACAAGUCCCAAGUAGGGCGAAACGUGCGUCCUGGAU
Molecule: non-coding RNA, 45 nt
Filed under: Schistosoma mansoni
Lineage: Eukaryota; Metazoa; Platyhelminthes; Trematoda; Strigeidida; Schistosomatidae
Source: RNAcentral